CUUGGGAAAGGAUCUGACACCUAAGUUCCUCAGCAGCUAGAUAGAAGGAGGGGGCCACCUGAAGGCUGACUGCUGAUUUCUUGAAACAAUUUCAGACUUUUUGGCAGGUUCAUUUAACUUGCAUCUAAGAGGUUAAAAGAGCUGGCUGAGGAGCCCACAGGACUAUUAUGUUGAUUUUCAAUAUGUCUUGGAGCACUGAGGAAGUUCCACAAGACUGGAAGAAAGAAAGAUGUAAACCCUGCAAGACUCUGGAAUAGUACAGGCAACAUCACAGAGAGCCUGGGAAUUCAUUUGAGGAUGGAAUUGUUCUGAAAUUCCACAAAAUAUAGCAGCAAUACCAACAAUGGAAAGAUAGCACUGACUAAGAGAAGCAAGUAACAUACACCACCCAUCUGAAGUUUUGUUUUAUUUUGCAUUUCUACA
Gopherus flavomarginatus (Mexican gopher tortoise) is the source of this 423-nucleotide long non-coding RNA. RefSeq lists it as uncharacterized. Lineage: Eukaryota; Metazoa; Chordata; Testudines; Testudinidae. The record is from RefSeq and is a predicted model, not a curated record. The transcript is spliced from 3 exons.